Bubalus bubalis (water buffalo) is the source of this 2037-nucleotide long non-coding RNA. RefSeq lists it as uncharacterized. The transcript is spliced from 5 exons. Lineage: Eukaryota; Metazoa; Chordata; Mammalia; Artiodactyla; Bovidae. The record is from RefSeq and is a predicted model, not a curated record.
GUGUUCUGGGACUCAAUCUAGUUCACUUACGUGUGUCUGGGGAACCAGCUAUGACAAAGUUAAAGCGGGUUGACCGUGUUUUAAUCAUGCUUCAGUGAGGUCCUAGACGUUUCAGGCCAAGCUCACCCUCUGAUAGGAGAAGGGAAGGGUCCACAGAGUCUCACCAUUUCUUCUUCCAGCAAUCUUUAUGCGGACACAAGAACUUAUUUUUCUAUUUUGAAAGGAAAUCAUAUGGGAAGGCAGGAAGAGCUAGAAUACUGAGGAAACCAAAUUUCCCCAGCCCUCACCAAGUACUUCAGGCUAAAUGCUCCCACCUGAAAUAGACUAUGAUGUCACCAUUUUAAAGCAACUUCCGGGAGGAUAAACCCCCAUCUCAUUAUCCCAGCCUAUUCCAAGAACAGGGACCAAGAGGGAAACAGGUAAAGACAUUGCUAAGAAAUAGGAACUCCAAGUGGGCUAAUCAGGAACUCUGAAAGCAGGUUGGAUUCAAGGAUCAGGCUGUGGUAUGACUGUGUCUUAGUUGCUAGCCUAUUGGAUUUCCAGACAUUGAAUAGGCUGACCUCCCUCUGAGAUUUUAAGGAAGUGUUAUUUCCAGAGACUCUGCAAGCCCUGCAAACAGGCUUGUGAUUGAUUGCUCAACCCCUGAGGCUGUCCCCAGGCCCCACCAAAACCUCUACCAGAAGUUCUCCAGCAGGUCUUCCUGAACUUUAUGGUUAAGUUCAAGGAAAAGAUUCCAGGAAGUCAUAUUUUAGCCCGCCUCUGGCCCAAGCCCCAGUGCAGCAUGAUCAGUAGUGAACCGGACACUGCACUUUCAUCUCCAUCUGGCUUGUGUGUCGAACACACAACUGAUUCUGAAUCUGGAAAGGAAGAACGCAUCAGGGUCUUUUCCAAUGAGUCAGCUCUUCGCAUCAAGUGGCCAUAGUUCCCAAUUGCAGCAAAACUGUUCGGGAAGAACAAGUUUCUAUUACCCAGGAAAUAAAGAUUGAGGAGGAGGGCAGAAUGAGAGAAACAAAACUCUUUAACUCACAGUGGGAAUUUUUGAUGGUGAGUUUCUGACAUGAGGACAUUUGUGACUUUUCCUCCAUUCGGAAAUAUUACUCCACACCUGAGCAGUUCAGGAGAGGCUGAGUUGCAGGAAUGGGAUAAGCUCAUGACUGGAAAGGAUCCAGGAUAAGUCAUGUUGGGAGUUGAAGCUUCAACAUAUGAAUUGGUAGAAGGAGAAGACACAAUUCAGUACAUUAAGACAUCCUGAGAUGGGACUUUCCAGGAGGGAGACAUCAAUUCCAAGAUGCUUCCGCAGGGACUCUCCAUCACAAGCGUGAGAGCUGCUUAACCUGAGUCAAGAGAAGGAUGGUAAACUAAAUACAGGACCUGAAAUAGUGCUUCUUCACAACCAAAGUAUGACCUCUUCCCUGAAGAAACCACGUGUUAGCAGCACAUGUUCCUCCUACCACCUGCCCACCCUACUGCCAGCCUGGUGAUAGUUGGGGGUAGAGGGAAUAACAGCAUGAGUGCCUUAGGACUGGGUUUGAAUUUUCUGGUUUGGGGUUUUGGUGGGACUUGUUUGUUAGUAUUUUAUAUACAGAUAACAUUUUAUUAAUUACUUAAGUUCAAUUCCCCUGGAAAUGGAAAUGAUAUCAGAAACCCAUACCUGGAGAGAAAGAAUAAUUAUUUUGUUUGGCUUCGGUAACAUCCAUGAAAGAAUCUCCUUCUUUCUCAAAGCAAUAUAUCUCAGAGGAGGCAGCCUAUGUUUCUGUGUUCAAUUAAUAUCCAGUAGAUUACUGUGAAACUCUUGGUUCUGCUGUUUAAUUUUAAAAUUCCCCUUCACUUCUCCCCCUUCAAUUGAACUGAUGUUCAGGUAAAGCUAUGAAACAAUCCAAAGACAAAUAAAAGGAAAGACAAACAACAGUAAGUACCAUUUGGUGGUAUCUUUCCCAUGUCAGAUCUCUGCCAAGUGCUUUACCUGCAUUAUCUUAUAUAAUCCUUCCCACCAUCCUAUGAGAUUAGCAUUAUAAUCCCCAUUCUAUAAACAGGGAA